This 463-nucleotide long non-coding RNA is filed under the name Homo sapiens (human). RNAcentral's name for it is "non-protein coding lnc-DZIP1-3:1". The record is from RNAcentral. Lineage: Eukaryota; Metazoa; Chordata; Mammalia; Primates; Hominidae.
GACCUGCUUAAAGAGGCAGUCUGGCUGCUUGUUGGUGGAGCAGGUGUGCUGUGUUGGGGUGGAUCAUUUCUCACCCAGACUGUUUGGACUCUCCAGAGCCGGCUGAGUGGAACAGCUGAUCGACCAAUCUGCAGAGAUGGUGGCCACCCUCCCCCGGAAGCCCUGUCCCAGGGAGAGAUCGGAGCUCUGUCCUUAUAACCCUGACUGGAGUGGCUAAAGCUUCCACAGGGAUAAGUGUAUUUUUUGCAUCUAAAUAAGUAUGUCCUUUUCAUAUAUAAUCUAUUUAUUAUUCAUUUACUGUCUAAGUAUUUGAGUGACUAUGUUUUCCCUUCUGGGGAUAUAUUAGUUUACAAUAUUAAGAUCUUUUCUCUUGUGCAGGUUAAAUUUUAGCAGGGGUAGCGUGCAUAGGGAGACAGACAAUAAGUGAUAGACAUAUGUAAAUUGAGUUACAUGUCAAGAAGCU